GCAUAUCAAUAAGCGGAGGAAAAAGAAACCAACAGGGAUUGCCUCAGUAACGGCGAGUGAAGCGGCAACAGCUCAAAUUUUAAAGCUGGCGUCUUUGGCGCCCGCGUUGUAAUUUGGAGAGGCAUCUUCGGUUUGGGCGCCAGCCUAUGUUCCUUGGAACAGGACGUCACAGAGGGUGAGAAUCCCGUGCCUGGCUGGCUGUCCCUUUCCAUGUGAAGUGCCUUCGACGAGUCGAGUUGUUUGGGAAUGCAGCUCAAAAUGGGUGGUAAAUUUCAUCUAAAGCUAAAUAUUGGCGGGAGACCGAUAGCGCACAAGUAGAGUGAUCGAAAGAUGAAAAGCACUUUGAAAAUAGAGUUAAAAAGUACGUGAAAUUGUUGAAAGGGAAGCGCUUGAGACCAGACUCGGCCGGAGAUGAUCAGCCGUCCUUCUGGGCGGUGCACUCGUUUCCGGCCGGGCCAGCAUCGGUUGAGACGGCGGGAUAAAGGCCCGGGGAAUGUGGCUCCUUUCGGGGAGUGUUAUAGCCCCGGGCGCAAUGCCGCCAGCCUCGACCGAGGACCGCGCUUAAUUGCUAGGAUGCUGGCGUAAUGGUCUUCAGCGACCCGUCUUGAAACACGGACCAAGGAGUCUAACAUCUAUGCGAGUGUUUGGGUGUCAAACCCUUGCGCGUAAUGAAAGUGAACGGAGGUGGGAACCCCUCGCGGGGCGCACCAUCGACCGGUCCUGAUGUCUUCGGAUGGAUCUGAGUAGGAGCAUAGCUGUUGGGACCCGAAAGAUGGUGAACUAUGCCUGAAUAGGGUGAAGCCAGAGGAAACUCUGGUGGAGGCUCGCAGCGGUUCUGACGUGCAAAUCGAUCGUCAAAUUUGGGUAUAGGGGCGAAAGACUAAUCGAACCAUCUAGUAGCUGGUUCCUGCCGAAG
RNAcentral lists this ribosomal RNA (916 nucleotides) under Gyromitra esculenta. Its description in RNAcentral is "LSU rRNA". It matches the Rfam family "Eukaryotic large subunit ribosomal RNA", at positions 38 to 966 of the family's 3401-position model. Lineage: Eukaryota; Fungi; Ascomycota; Pezizomycetes; Pezizales; Discinaceae. The record is from RNAcentral.